Molecule: unclassified non-coding RNA, 240 nt
Filed under: soil metagenome
Description: partial contains 5.8S ribosomal RNA, internal transcribed spacer 2, and large subunit ribosomal RNA
Source: RNAcentral
AACAUCGCGCACCUGCGGGAACCUGCGGAAGGAUCAUUCAAGAAAACUCGGGCGCGAUGGCCGAACGGAAAAUGCGUUUUCCUAGUAGGUGGUCGCAAACGAGGAAAUCCAAAUGGAAACCUUGUGUGCACUGUCGCUCUGCGAUCUCUUUUGGCGCGCAGUCUAGUUGUCGCUCGCGGGCGGCAGCCGGGCGCGCCAGAGACUUUGGCUUAAUUACGUGGUUUUGUUGUGUCUGAACUA